AGACACCGAAUCACCCCGCUGCAGACAGGCAGCCACCUGGUUCCACACUACAAAGACGCAGGGGACACCAGAUCACCAGACCACGGUACUGAAUCCUGCUGCUCCCGGCCCAGAGAUGAGGAGCGAGGAGUUAAAGAAAUGUCGUGACUACUAUAGCUCAAAGUCCCCAACCUGACAAAAACCAGGUUCCCAGGCCUCUGGUCCUUUUAUAUCCAACAGUCAACUCCUGCAUUUGAAGGAAGGACCUUUGUGGUGGGAUUCAGGGUCCAGGGCUGGAGUUCCCAGAAGAGUUUUACUAGAGUGUGGAUUUCUACAUGAGUUGGAAAGGCCCUUGGGAGCUUCCAACCAUAACAAGAGCACAGUAAGAGAGAUACGAAGUUCAAGUCCCAAG
Heterocephalus glaber (naked mole-rat) is the source of this 391-nucleotide long non-coding RNA. The record is from Ensembl. Lineage: Eukaryota; Metazoa; Chordata; Mammalia; Rodentia; Bathyergidae.